UGGGGAAUAUUGGACAAUGGGGGCAACCCUGAUCCAGCCAUGCCGCGUGAGUGAUGAAGGCCUUCGGGUUGUAAAGCUCUUUUGGCGGGGACGAUGAUGACGGUACCCGCAGAAUAAGCCCCGGCUAACUUCGUGCCAGCAGCCGCGGUAAGACGAAGGGGGCUAGCGUUGUUCGGAAUUACUGGGCGUAAAGCGAGUGUAGGCGGUUGCCGUAGUCAGGUGUGAAAGCCUUGAGCUCAACUCAAGAAAUGCACUUGAUACUGGGUGACUAGAGGACCGGAGAGGAUAGUGGAAUUCCCAGUGUAGUGGUGAAAUACGUAGAGAUUGGGAAGAACACCAGUGGCGAAGGCGGCUAUCUGGACGGUUACUGACGCUAAGACUCGAAAGCGUGGGGAGCAAACAGGAUUAGAUACCCUGGUAGUCCACGCCGUAAACGAUGGGUGCUAGACGUUGGCGAGCUUGCUCGUCAGUGUCGCAGCUAAACGCGUUAAGCACCCCGCCUGGGGAGUACGGCCGCAAGGUUGAAAACUCAAAAGGAAUUGACGGGGUCAUAGCUGUUUCCU
RNAcentral lists this ribosomal RNA (563 nucleotides) under uncultured bacterium. Its description in RNAcentral is "partial 16S ribosomal RNA". It matches the Rfam family "Bacterial small subunit ribosomal RNA", at positions 355 to 1375 of the family's 1533-position model. The record is from RNAcentral.